Molecule: transfer RNA, 73 nt
Filed under: Sphaerodactylus townsendi
Lineage: Eukaryota; Metazoa; Chordata; Lepidosauria; Squamata; Sphaerodactylidae
Description: tRNA-Thr
Rfam family: tRNA
About the family: Transfer RNA (tRNA) molecules are approximately 80 nucleotides in length. Their secondary structure includes four short double-helical elements and three loops (D, anti-codon, and T loops).
Source: RNAcentral
AGAGGUUGUGGCUCAGUGGUGGAACAUCUGCUUUGUGUGCAGAAGGUCUCAGGUUCAAGCCCUGAUAUCUCAA